MicroRNA precursor from Chlorocebus sabaeus (green monkey), 97 nucleotides. The record is from Ensembl. NCBI's taxonomy places the organism in Eukaryota, Metazoa, Chordata, Mammalia, Primates, Cercopithecidae.
GCGUCCUCUGGUGGGAGGGGGGAGGGCACAGAGCAGCAGUUCUGCAGGGCUCUCAGAGGCCUGCCCUGAGCUCCCGCCUCCUCCUUCUCAGCCUCCC